AAACUGGCCUAAACGCCACAAGUUGCAUCGACCUGAACGUCGGAAACUUCUUCGAUCUGAACAUCGGAAAACUGGCCUGAACGCCACUUCGGUCUGAAUACCGGAAACUUCAUGCCUGUCAGCAUCGGCAGAAAUAGGGAACGAUAAUAGAGGCGGCGCAUGGGCCAAUGACACUUGUUGGGGAUAACAAAGGUAAGUCAUGAACAAUCUUCAGUCUGAGUACUGGAAACAAC
This 233-nucleotide long non-coding RNA is filed under the name Lathyrus oleraceus (garden pea). RNAcentral describes it as "Pisum sativum (pea) long non-coding RNA (PSAT_LNC041287)". The record is from RNAcentral. Lineage: Eukaryota; Viridiplantae; Streptophyta; Magnoliopsida; Fabales; Fabaceae.